RNAcentral lists this ribosomal RNA (460 nucleotides) under uncultured bacterium. Its description in RNAcentral is "partial 16S ribosomal RNA". It matches the Rfam family "Bacterial small subunit ribosomal RNA", at positions 338 to 795 of the family's 1533-position model. The record is from RNAcentral.
CCUACGGGCGGCAGCAGUGAGGAAUAUUGGUCAAUGGACGAGAGUCUGAACCAGCCAAGUAGCGUGAAGGAUGACUGCCCUAUGGGUUGUAAACUUCUUUUAUAUGGGAAUAAAACGUUCCACGUGUGGGAUUUUGUAUGUACCAUAUGAAUAAGGAUCGGCUAACUCCGUGCCAGCAGCCGCGGUAAUACGGAGGAUCCGAGCGUUAUCCGGAUUUAUUGGGUUUAAAGGGAGCGUAGGUGGAUUGUUAAGUCAGUUGUGAAAGUUUGCGGCUCAACCGUAAAAUUGCAGUUGAAACUGGCAGUCUUGAGUACAGUAGAGGUGGGCGGAAUGCGUGGUGUAGCGGUGAAAUGCUUAGAUAUCACAAAGAACUCCGAUUGCGAAGGCAGUUCACUGGACUGCAACUGACACUGAGGCUCGAAAGUGUGGGUAUCAAACAGGAUUAGAUACCCGGGUAGUC